CUGCGCUCCAAAUUCUCUCUCUUUUGUUCUGGUCUUGUUGCAAAGUCAAGCAAACAGUUCCUUUUUCAAUGAUGGUC
Molecule: transfer RNA, 77 nt
Filed under: Tryblionella compressa
Lineage: Eukaryota; Bacillariophyta; Bacillariophyceae; Bacillariales; Bacillariaceae
Description: Selenocysteine transfer RNA
Source: RNAcentral